Larimichthys crocea (large yellow croaker) is the source of this 6912-nucleotide RNA transcript. It is a transcript of the gene named adherens junctions associated protein 1, with no coding region annotated. Lineage: Eukaryota; Metazoa; Chordata; Actinopteri; Sciaenidae. The record is from RefSeq and is a predicted model, not a curated record. The transcript has 6 exons.
AUUAUACUGUUGGUCUCCAUCAGCUGUAUGUGACUGUAUGUGUUUGACACAAUGAUGAAUGUUUUUCUGAUUUAUUUCCAGCCAUUUCUCUGCAGGUUUCACUCCACUCAAAUGGCUCAAUCCGACACUCUGCAGCUCUGUACUGAACUGGACAGUACUGCCCCUUGUCAUACCCGAUCUGACACUCAUGAGUGUGUGCACCCACAUGACGCGAGACACUCCGGCACAUGACAUAUUCGGCUUUAAAAUGACGUCACGGCAGCGUGUUUCUCAGCAGGCAGGUCGUUCGUCAGUCUGAGAGAAGAGGAGCAGCAGGAGACGGACCAGCCUCCUUCUCCCCCUCUGAUGACAAGCUCUCAUUCCCCCUCUGUCCAACUCCUCUGAAACAACUCUAAACCUCCAGGAUUCUCAUCCGUCGCUCCCCCUCUUUCUUUUUUCAGUUGCACCUAUUCUUUUUUAUUAUUAUUAUUUUUGCACUUUGUCUAACCCCUUCUCCCCAAACCCCAAACACCUCCAGAGAUGUGAAUAGAUAAUGAGGACCCCCUGCCAGCGGUGACUUGUCUCCUCCGUGCUUCAGAGAACCGAACAUCCUCAUCUUCCACCCCCCAGUUUUUUUUUUUGUUUUUUUUUGGACGCUCAUCUGCCUCUUUCAACAAUGUAGGAGAAGCUACGCUGUCAUUUCAGCGACGAGGAUGCCAACUACAUGCCUUUGUUUUUGCUCUCCGCAGCUUACAUCUUUGUCUCUCCGUCUCUGGGGGUGGGGGGAAUGAAAGAUUUUGCGUGAAGGCAAAGUUUGAAGGUACCUCUUCUGGUUUCCCGCUCACCUGUCCGCCUUGCACGCGGACUUUAACUGAUAACGAGGAAGAUUAUCGCCAGAAGAACAUUUGACGAGCAACUUAAAAGACACCUGACUAUUUGUUCUGUUUUUUUUGUUUUUUUUUUUGUUAGUGGGAUUUGACUGCGCUGUUGGAGGAAUUUCAUGUGCGCAACGUUGGAGGAUAUGGCUUAAAAAUAAUGGUUGCGUUACUGACAGCUGGAGUAAGGUCCGUCACUUGAGUGUUUUUUUUUUUUAUCAGCUACUGUCGACUUUGGUGGAAACCCAUCUAAAUGGGAGGAUACCUGGAGGACUGAGUCGGAUUCGGCAGAAGAGAAAAAAUGUGGAUAAAACGGAGUGUUGCGCGCAGUCCGUCUGCUUUGAGGCCAGGCAGCUGUGUGGGGCACCGGUUGUGGAUCCUGCUGGCCAUGACCCACCUCACCCUGGACUUCUCUGUGUGCAGCCCCCUCAGUCAGAGUCUGGGUAUCAAACUCACGCCUAAAUCGGUGCCUCACUCACAACCUCGCUGGCAGCCAGUCUGGGACACGCCCAACAAGCUUCACUGGAGAACAGUAAGUCCGCUGGCCCGCCGGCUUCUAAACCCUAUCCCUCCACCCCAGGACAACAGAGCUGGGAUAGACUCAAAAGUCAAGGGUCACCAGCAUCGGAAGCCAGUGCAUAAAGGACAAGCAGCGUGUAAGGAGUGCCAGCUAAAAUACUCUCAAAAGGAGACAGGUGAUACUUUGGCUGUAAUAGCUGAAGCUCCAGCAGCUUUAUCCAGUGGGAGCAGAGGAGACACAGUGAGGUUGUUACUUAGAGCCAGGAGACAGCUCAAAUGGGACAGCUAUGACAAAUCCCAGGAGGGCCGGACUACGACAGUGGCCGGAUUUAUCGACUGGGGACCCACAGGGACAGAUAGCAUAGAUGAUGAUGGCAAACCAGAGCCCAACAUAACACUGUCCACCAGGGUCUCAACUACCACAGUGGCCACAACCACUAGCACUACAACCAGGCUCUCCCAAAGGACGUUCACUGUGGUGACCACACCAGAGCCCAAGAGCACCACCAAGGCCACUGUCAACUUCGGGGAGACUGUCAAACCACCAAAGCCAUAUGGGGAACCACCUGGUUUGGCAGUUCACCAGAUAAUCACAAUCACUGUGUCUCUUAUUAUGGUUAUCGCAGCCUUGAUCACAACACUCGUCCUUAAAAACUGCUGUGCGCAGUCGGGAAAUGGCCGCCACAAUAGCCAUCAGCGCAAGAUCCACCAGCAGGAAGAAAGCUGCCAAAACUUGACAGACUUCACCCCAGCCCGGGUGCCCAGCAAGGUGGAUAUAUUCACUGCCUACAAUGACAGCCUGCAGUGCUCACAUGAGUGCGUUCGGACUGCCGUGCCCAUCUACACUGAUGAGAUGAUCCAGCAGACGCCUGUCUACAAGACUGCUUACAAUGGAAACAGGCCCUCCCCCACUGAAAGACAACUGAUCCCUGUGGCCUUUGUGUCAGAGAAAUGGUUUGAGAUCUCGUGUUGACGAGCUGAAGGCCUUGUUCACUUCCUGUGAGUAGAAGAGACUUCCUGAAUUCACGCUCUGGAUCCAGUUGGAAACAAGAAAACACACAAAAACAGCUUCUUUUGUAAAAUAGUGUGAUCACUCUUUGGACACUGGUGAAGAUAUUUAUUUUUCUAGAGAUGACAAGCAGAGCAGCCACGGCGCUGCCACUCCAUAUUUCCAGGAACGUACAGUCAUUUAGAUAUAGAAUAUAUAUAGGUAUAUUUACAGGAUGUGUGGGACAAGACUGUGGACGUCGAGGAUGUUCUCAAGAAAAACACUUGACAUUUGAUAAAGGAACCCACGGAGAUGUUGUGGGUGGAAGAUGAACUGUAUUUCUGAACAAUGUGCCAAUAAUGCCACUAUGUGCCACAACCUGGAUAGAAGGAAGUUUCAACAACAACUGAUGGACUAAACAAAGAGCGCUAUAUUAACCCUGUAUCGACUCCAAUUGCAUUGUUUUUUUGUUUUUGUUUUGUUUUUUAAAGAAAUGUGAAAGAUAAAAAAUGCUACAAUGUAUUUGAACAUGUUUUAAAAUAGUUUUAAGAAAAGUGUUACAAAGAGUCUAAAAGAUAUUUAUAUGAAGCACUAUUCUAGUCGGAGAAGAGAGAAGAACAAGAAAUGGUAUAUGCUUUAUUGAACAGUUGAUUUUAAAACAUCCUUUCUAUCGGUCCCAUUUUAAAAAAACAGAAUAGUUAUGUCUAUUUUUUUACACAGCCCUAACAGUGGAGGUCCGAAGCACUUGGGAUUCAGCACUGUUAAUUAAGUACUCCCGCCUGAGCUGAGAUUAUAACAAAGAAAACAAUCUGAAUACAGCCAGUGCAAGCCAAUCCAACGCCCGCUCCAACUGCUUAUUAUCUAAGAUUUGUACCCGAAUUGGCCAAAUGGAAAAACAAACUAAAGGUUUCUGUCGUGCAAUGAAUCCCUAAGCAGCAAGUUCAUGUAUAGAUUGAGCAAGUAUAGCCACAGGAGACUGCAUGGAGCUGGACAGGACAUUCAUACUGCCUCAGGUCUGUCUAGCUCUCUUGCACACUUAAUGUUGGUCUCAGUUUCAGCAGCUGUUUGAGGAAAAUUCUAAUGAUUGGUUAUGAUUUAUGCUAAAAUAGUGGACAUGAUUCAAUUUGAGCGUCAAAUUCAAAUAAGUAAAGUCAUAAUUUGUAUAAAUAGGUAAGAGAUUGAAAAUGAAUCCCUCCACAGACAGUAAAUGAAUAUCCCCACCCAACUCCCAGAUUGGCUCACUUUUCAUUAAUUAUAACCUGAAAUUGAGAAAGUCAAGAAGACCGUGAAACAAUCUGUUGAAGGUGGAACAAAAUUAUCCUCAGUUUUUCAACUAAGAAUGAAGACGAAGCCGUGGAUGAGGCGCUUCUAAGUGGUGUCCCUCGGGAUCGAAAUGAUCGCAUCAUGUGUUUUAAAUGCAAGAUGCAAGCAGGGAAGGCUUCCCUCAUCAAAUGUAUAAUAAGAAUUAGUCAGCUCUCUCCAGAGCCAGAUCCACUCAAUACUUGAUGACAAUAUUUUCAGAAUUUCAACUAUCAGAGACAGGAAGUUGGCAGUUGUGCACAGAUGGAUUGUUUUAAGUUGUGCCAAAGGAAGUGGAGAUUCGAUCCGGGCUUUAAUUUUGUUCUUUUAAAAACCUAAAACACUCUGUCACUGUAUUGUUGAAGUAAGGGGAUUAUGACAAGCCAAUCAGCCACUGCCACAUUGGUUUAAACUAUCUCUUCUGACAAGGUGAGGGAACCCGUGGUGAGGAAGGACAGUAUAGCUCUCCUGAGAGCUUUCUAGCACCAAUAAUUUUAUUAUCAACCUCAAACUCUGAAAGACAAAUUGUGCUACAAAGCUUUUGAGGAUGCCACCUAUGAAUCUACCUUUCAUUGUGCUGUGGGUUUGUACAAAGCACAAAUACAACUCUGUAAUUGUAAACAUUUUUGGCUGCAGACAGCAAUAUGUACAGAUUUAAAAGGUUGGUUUUAUUGCGUGUCGACAGUGGAUCUUAGGUGGUUUUUAGGUUUGUACUCACUUCCUUAAAGAAUUCAAAAAAACAGGUUGUCCCAGUGAGAUCAGUAUCUGUAAAUGUGAGCCAUUCAGGAGGUGCCGAAAGGGCCUGGGAUAAAACACUGUGGUGCAAAACUCCUGCUUUUGCCCAUUCACAACAUGAAAACCGCUCUCAUGAAUGACCCAUACCAAUUCAGCCUCACAUGUGUGUCAGGCUGCGGAGUUGCUUCUUUGACAUAACAUAUAUUUUUUUGAAUGAAGAGUGUUAUCUUAAUAGUCAGAUGGUUAUGAAAAACUGUAUAUUAUACACGUGUAAAUGUAUUUUCUAUAUAUUUGCUUCUAUUUGUGUACAGGUGUGUUCUAUUUUUCAAGACCUCUCCAGUUUUUGGAAAGGUUUCAGCUAGGUCGGGGAUAGUGUCUUUGUUUACAUGUGUAACUACAGUAUUUCUUUUAAAACACAAAACUAACCUUGUGCCAAGCUUCCUACCUGCACUUUCAAGCAGUACUUGUAUUAUAUCUUUAGCUAACCAGUAUAAUACUUCAGUAGACGCUGCAAUAGUUCAGAGUCUGGAGGGUGAUUUCCAGGUGGAACGUCUCAAAGUAGUACUCAGUGCUGAGUGGUUCAAAGACAUGUUGUGAUCAUAUCUUGGGUUCUGCUGUAUUCAUGGUUGGCUGGGAAACCAAUAACUCUCUCUUCUUCAACAUCAUUUAUACAUGAAUUCAAAUAUAGUGUUUCAUCAUAUGAAUAAAAAAACAACAGUGUAAAUCCAACAGUAGCGGCCAAGAAACCAACUCAACUUGAUCUAGACUGGUUUGCAUUCAUUUGUCACAAGUUCUCAUUUUGUAAUUGUAUGUACAUAGUAGCCUACGACGACCACCCCAGAAAAUGUACAAUUUGCCACAUACUUUACUGUAAUGAUUGCAAAACCUAACUAAUAUUAGCAUCUAUGAGUGUGAUAAACAACCUGGGAAUGACAUCUAAAGAAAGAAUUGGGAAAGAGUGUUAACUACUGUUUUGAUUCUAAAUUGACCCGGUUAAUAAAUGCCACACAGAGUUACACACAGGAAGCCAUUCACUUUUUUUCUUUUAUGAAAAUUAAGAAUAAUUCUGGUUUAUUUUAACUUGGGCCUUAUUUUUAGCCAUGCUAGCUGUUAGUCAGACAGUCCACCACUUUGGUGUAGACCGAUGGAUUGGAAAGUUGGUUGAGAUAUCCACGGUGCCCACAGCAUAAAUCCUAAUGACGAAUAGGUCACAAUAUGGUUAUCUUUGAAGUCUGUAGACUGUGGAUAACCUGAGGGUUUGUUUACAACCUGUCUGAUCUUUUGACUGUUCUCACCCUGUCUGACUUUUUUUAUCAAUGUCACUGAGUUCCAAGAUCUCAGUAUUGAACUUGGUUGAGUACAGUGUUAUUAUUACUGACAGCAAUGACAAAGCCAAAAAUAUGGAAAUGAGACUCAAGUUGCACUAAACCUGAAUUAUCCUUUAAGUGUACAUACUGAAGAUUGUUUGAGAGCUGUGGUGAAGUACAGUAUCAUAAAGUAGUUCCCCUGUUUUUUGAAUUGCUGCAAAGUAUUUCACCAAAAGAAGGUACUUGUGGUUGCAAAGUUUCUGUGCUACUAACACUGUCCCGGUUAAGUAUUAAAAUAUGACCCCUCUGAAAAUUGUUUAAAUGUUAUACCAAGCUAAUGAUGAUUGGGUGAGACUAAUCUCUCAUUCUUUGAAACCUACACAAUUAGAUUAUUGAAGUAAGCGAAACUUCGACAUUUUGAAUUUCUUUGUGUUUCAUACUGUAGGGAAAAGGGUUUAUAGGCUUUUAAUUCAAUUUGCAUUGAAAGGCUUGUUUGCAUUGUCAGCAUCCCUCAUUAAAACCACGCUGCCAGCUAAAAGCAAUUUGCCUUGUAUUCCUGAAGGACAUUAAGACAGAAAAAUGUAACUUGCAGCAUAUAUAUAUAUUAAAAAAGGCAAAGUUUUCCGUUUAUAUUUCAGGACAGCUGAUGAGUGUGGUGUAUCAUAGCUAAGAGGGAGGAAAAUGAUUCCACCUCGUUGGUCCGACUGGAUUCAGGAAAUAUCUGAGAGCAGUGCAGGGUUAGGCAAAGCCAGAGGGAACAGGGAGGAGGUCUUAAACAAACACCAAAGACUUAACAUACCUUUUUCACAAUGAAUGAAUAUGUUGCGGCUCCAGUGUCUCUACAAACCUCCCUUCAGCACAAACAAGCUAUCAAUCAAGCAAGUAUUCCUGUCAAGAUGAAGGAUGUCCCGCACACUCAUUUGCAGGGACUGUGAUUCCCGUUUGUAUGUCAGACAUACAGAGUGGAACUUAUUGACAUAUAUGCUGUUUGAAUUGAAUGUUGACUGAAAAUCCACAAAGCCAAGGUUUGUUUUUCCCAUAUCAUUGGCAGCACAAGAAGAGAGGAAUCAAUGUAUCAACUCUGUUUAAUCACAGCCUUUGGGUGUCUAAUUAGUAUGGAAACAUGUUUCACAGCUGGUGGUGAUUUAAAUUUUGAGAAAAAGUCAAUGGCAGGUCGCUCAAACAGCAAGGUGAGACUCAGUAGGGAGAA